GCCCCCGUUGUCUAAUGGCUAUGACGUCAGACUUCUACUGCAAUUGAAUCUGGAGGUUGCGGGUUCGAGUCCCGCCGGGGGUU
Molecule: non-coding RNA, 83 nt
Organism: Lentinula boryana
Lineage: Eukaryota; Fungi; Basidiomycota; Agaricomycetes; Agaricales; Omphalotaceae
Source: the annotation of a GenBank genome assembly